ACACCUACGGGUGGCAGCAGUGGGGAAUCUUGCACAAUGCGCGAAAGCGUGAUGCAGCAACGCCGCGUGCGGGAAGACGGCCUUCGGGUUGUAAACCGCUUUCAGUUGGGACGAAGCCGGUGCGGUUAAUAGCCGUUGCGGGUGACGGUACCUUCAGAAGAAGCCCCGGCUAACUACGUGCCAGCAGCCGCGGUAAUACGUAGGGGGCAAGCGUUGUCCGGAAUCAUUGGGCGUAAAGCGCGUGUAGGCGGCUCAGUAAGUCCGCUCUGAAAGCCCGGGGCUCAACCCCGGGAGGCGGGUGGAUACUGCUGAGCUCGAGUCCGGAAGAGGAGUGUGGAAUUCCUGGUGUAGCGGUGAAAUGC
RNAcentral lists this ribosomal RNA (362 nucleotides) under uncultured bacterium. Its description in RNAcentral is "bacterial SSU rRNA". It matches the Rfam family "Bacterial small subunit ribosomal RNA", at positions 335 to 689 of the family's 1533-position model. The record is from RNAcentral.